UACGGGGGAUGCAAGCGUUAUCCGGAAUUAUUGGGCGUAAAGCGUCCUCAGGUGGUUUGUCAAGUCUGCUGUUAAAGCGUGGAGCUUAACUCCAUAUCGGCGGUGGAAACUGAUGAACUAGAGGGUGGUAGGGGUCACGGGAAUUCCCAGUGUAGCGGUGAAAUGCGUAGAUAUUGGGAAGAACACCAGCGGCGAAAGUGCGUGACUGGGCCAUUAAUGACACUCAUGGACGAAAGCUAGGGGAGCGAAAGGG
RNAcentral lists this ribosomal RNA (253 nucleotides) under uncultured bacterium. Its description in RNAcentral is "partial 16S ribosomal RNA". It matches the Rfam family "Bacterial small subunit ribosomal RNA", at positions 524 to 776 of the family's 1533-position model. The record is from RNAcentral.